This is a long non-coding RNA of Oreochromis aureus, 2061 nucleotides long. The record is from Ensembl. NCBI's taxonomy places the organism in Eukaryota, Metazoa, Chordata, Actinopteri, Cichliformes, Cichlidae.
AUGCCUGUAUAUAAGAGCUUAUUAUGAGAGUGUAAAUACAGUGUGAAUAUAUUAGUGUGGAUGCAUAGUAAAUGACUGAAUUUUGAUAGAUGUAUAUUUCGUGAGCCAUAAAUGUUGGUGUGUUUUAUUUUUUCAGUUAUGUGUGUGUGGGGAGAAGCUGCGAGGAUGAUGAGAGAAAAGGCAGUGUGUGUGAGACGAUUACUGAAUGACUAAAGAGGUUAGAACCUUUAAAAGUGUGUAUGAAAGAAAGGGGUAUGAAAUAUAUUUCUUGUGUGAGGAAAAGUAGGAUGUUUUAAAGUUUGAAAGUGCUUUUAAUUCAAGAAAUCCAUGAGAGAUGUUAUGACAGGUUGAGUGUAUUUUUUCCGAUUGAAAAUACAUAAGUAUAUGUACUUGGGAAGCCCAGUUAAGAGAUUAUUGGGUGACUGAUGCUAUAAAACUGACCUAAAGAAUGGUCCUGUCCGUGGAGAAGUGUUAGUUGUCCUGAUGUUUGGAAGAGCUCUAUUUAAAAGUGUGUGUGAGAGGAAGGUGUGUGUGUGACUGAUGAUGUCAGGGGAGCACCCAGAGAAAUAGACAGAUGAGUUAAACUCUAAGAAGAUGAAGCGAAUGCAUGUUUUAAGAAAAAGUAAUAAAGUAAUAAAAUUAUAUUAAUUACAGGUUUUAGAAAAGAGACAGACUGAGAGAAAUAAAUACAGGAACUAACAAUUACAUUAAUGAAUUGAAAAUGCACGUACACAAACUGUUACAUGUGAAAUUAUUGUUGGAAAGUUUAAUAAAGAAAGCAGUUUACACUCCUUUAAUUUCCAGAACCAGUGUGUCCCCUAGGCCUGAUAACACUCUUGCCCAGUUGGCUCCUGUAGUAGGCGGGCAUGGAAGGCUGGACAGCCCAUGACGGGUAAGAUCCCACCUCGAAACCCUGGGACAACCUAAGGCAAGGCGCAGUCACGAUUGCUCGAACCUAAGUCCCGGAGUGACCUUGGAGUCACUGGAGGAGACGGAUUUAACAGGUAAGGCCACUGGGCACAGACGAAGGGGAAAUGUCAUUCACAAUGACCAGUGAUGAGCCAAAGAGAGAAAACACACCCUGUCAAAAGGAGUUUGGAACACUGGAAAAGAAACAUUUACAAGAUCACAAAGAUCAUAAAGAAACAUUUAUAAGAAUCACACAUACAAACAGAAAAUGCACUAACCUUACAGAGACAAGCUCAUGAAGAUUAAUGAACAGAUAAUGACUUAAAACCUGGCUAAGAACACAAACAUACGUAAUUAAAUCAGCCUGCUAAUUUCAUGAGGGUUAAAAUGGUGUGAAUGGUUAAUACAAUUGAUGGAAAGAUUUAAAAUAGAUGGAAAAAACAAAAGAAAAGUGUCUAUAAGAGUGACUCAGGAGUGCUCUUGCACUGAUUUAUCAAAGUAAGUGAUUAGUAUAGAAAGAAAAUGAAAAUAAUUCAAUGAUGUGAUAAGGUUUAAAAACAUGUAUUCCUCUUGUUAAGUUGGCUGUUGAGCUGUGGGUUUAUGCAAAUUAGCUGGAGUGAGUGAGUGACAAAGACACUUCCUGUGUGCGUGUGUGGCGGAGGCUUUCGGUUCAGUUCAAGAGAGAGCAGUGGCUGUUGAAGAGUAUUGGGAGAAAUAUAUAAUGGUAAAGUAUCAGGAUAUUUGAUUACGGUGGUCAGGUCUGUUCAGAGGGGCAGAUUUGGACAGGAAAUUUAUAAUUUAAGGAUGAUAUGUGGUUGAAAUUGGUUUUUAUCUUGUGCUGAAUGAAAACGGUCUUUGAUCUUUUGACGAGGUUUUCGGUGUGUUGAACGGGUGAAAUUUAAGAUUGUUUCAGAUUUUUGAGGCUGUUGUUUUAUUUCCAGAGAGGGUGUUUCAUUAAGGCAGGGAUAGGUCUGAGAGGGGCCCCAAAAAUUUUUUGUAGUAGUAAGUGCACUCAGGAAAAAACCUGUCAGGUGAUUUUGUUUGGUACUUUGAUGAGCUAAUAAUCAGCUCUCUUUUUUCAUUUUUGUUCUAAGCAGGCCUGGAAGAGAGUGAACGGACGGCGCUGACAAAGUUACCAAGUACGAAAAUCAG